RNAcentral lists this ribosomal RNA (793 nucleotides) under uncultured archaeon. RNAcentral describes it as "bacterial SSU rRNA". It matches the Rfam family "Archaeal small subunit ribosomal RNA", at positions 85 to 879 of the family's 1478-position model. The record is from RNAcentral.
ACGGCUCGGUAACACGUGGACAACCUACCCAAAAGUCCGGGAUAACCCCGGGAAACUGGGGAUAAUACCGGAUAGAUCAAACUUGCUGGAAGGCUGUUUGGUUGAAACUUCCGGGGCUUUUGGAUGGGUCUGCGGCUGAUUAGGUUGUUGCCGGUGUAACGUACCGUCAAGCCUGUAAUCAGUACGGGUUGUGGGAGCAAGAGCCCGGAGAUGGAUUCUGAGACACGAAUCCAGGCCCUACGGGGCGCAGCAGGCGCGAAAACUCUACAAUGCAGGCAACUGCGAUAGGGGAACAUCGAGUGAUACUCAUCUUGGGUGUCUGUCCUCCCGUCUAAAAAACGGGAGUUAGCAAGGGCCGGGCAAGACCGGUGCCAGCCGCCGCGGUAAUACCGGCGGCUCGAGUGGUGGCCGAUAUUAUUGAGUCUAAAGGGUCCGUAGCCGGCUUUGCAAGUCUUUUGGGAAAUCCAGCGGCUUAACCGUUGGUCGUCCGGGAGAUACUACAUUGCUUGGGACUGGGAGAGGUAGGAGGUACUCAGGGGGUAGGAGUGAAAUCCUGUAAUCCUUUGGGGACCACCGGUGGCGAAGGCGUCCUACCAGAACAGGUCCGACGGUGAGGGACGAAAGCUAGGGGCACGAACCGGAUUAGAUACCCGGGUAGUCCUAGCCGUAAACGAUGCUCGCUAGGUGUCACAACAAUCGUGAAUUGUUGUGGUGCCGUAGGGAAGCCGUGAAGCGAGCCACUUGGGAAGUACGACCGCAAGGUUGAAACUUAAAGGAAUUGGCGGGGGAGCAC